Molecule: ribosomal RNA, 478 nt
Filed under: uncultured organism
Description: partial 16S ribosomal RNA
Rfam family: Bacterial small subunit ribosomal RNA
Source: RNAcentral
UACACUCCUACGGGAGGCAGCAGUGGGGAAUUUUGGACAAUGGGCGAAAGCCUGAUCCAGCAAUGCCGCGUGUGUGAAGAAGGCCUUCGGGUUGUAAAGCACUUUUGUCCGGAAAGAAAUCCUUGGCUCUAAUACAGUCGGGGGAUGACGGUACCGGAAGAAUAAGCACCGGCUAACUACGUGCCAGCAGCCGCGGUAAUACGUAGGGUGCGAGCGUUAAUCGGAAUUACUGGGCGUAAAGCGUGCGCAGGCGGUUUGCUAAGACCGAUGUGAAAUCCCCGGGCUCAACCUGGGAACUGCAUUGGUGACUGGCAGGCUAGAGUAUGGCAGAGGGGGGUAGAAUUCCACGUGUAGCAGUGAAAUGCGUAGAGAUGUGGAGGAAUACCGAUGGCGAAGGCAGCCCCCUGGGCCAAUACUGACGCUCAUGCACGAAAGCGUGGGGAGCAAACAGGAUUAGAAACCCCAGUAGUCCCAUGAU